Long non-coding RNA from Impatiens glandulifera, 1083 nucleotides. RefSeq lists it as uncharacterized. The transcript has 4 exons. Lineage: Eukaryota; Viridiplantae; Streptophyta; Magnoliopsida; Ericales; Balsaminaceae. The record is from RefSeq and is a predicted model, not a curated record.
UCAUUUCUCUCAUUCCCUUCUCUCUCUCCAAACACUCUCCAAACCCGCUCCUCCCAUUGCCGCCCUCACCAUAAACCCUAGCAUCCCCAAAUUGAAGCCAAACUCUAUCGCCUCCCCUCGCUGCCUAUCCAAACCCGCUCCUCCCAUCGCCAUCUCUUCAAACCCUAGCCUACCCUAACCUCCCAAAUCCCAUUCACUAAUACUCGAUUCUCAAUACCCGGUUCUUUAUUAUUUCACCGCCUCUCCUAGCCACACCCUGCCUCCCAUAGAUAACUAUUCUCCAUCUUCAAGGUAACUGUACUUCAUUGGAUAUUCUUCAACAAGUGUCUUCUCCAUCUCCAAGACAAAAAUCUCAAAGAAAACGAGAUCUAUGUGAAUCUAAAUAUACAGAAUCUGACGAGGAUGUACGUGAAUAUGAAAUUGGUGAUAGAAGAAUGAAAAAGGACAAACAGGCUCCAAAGACAAAAGCUUCAUCUUCUAAACUUGUCAAAAUGGUAAUAUCUCCCAAACAAAAACAAACCUCUUCAAGACGAACAGCCCCAAAACAACCACCCCCAACUGCAGCUAAAAAACCGUCUCCUAAAAAGAAGGGCUUAUCCCACAAACAAGCCUUACCCCCUACACAACUCAUAACCCCCCCUCCCCAAGAACCCUUACCCCCAAACGACAAGUAACCCCAAAAAAAUCACAACUCACUUCAACUCAAAAACACCAAAACCAAAAAUCUAACCAAAAUAAGAAGUCUACUCCAAAGAAACUGCCUUCAACUUCAGUUCAACAAAAUCUUCAACUAAUCCCUUCUAAAGGAUUAGAAACUCAACCUGACACAACAGAUGGUAUGGUCAAUCGUGCCCUCAAAUAUUGAAAUGGAGGAUGAAGAUGAAGAAAAUUCAAGGGAGAAUGUAGACCUAGAUGAUCUUUCCAAAUCAUCAAACACCUACAUAGAAAUUGUUGGAGAGAACUUCUAUCCAGAUAUUUUGAAAGACAUACAUAUGAUUAUUACGGGUUAUUGGAGGGGGGCAAACUUGAACUGGAAUCAAGUUCUCGAAGACAUUAAGAACAUUUGGUGUGAAUAAUUCACGG